Molecule: non-coding RNA, 398 nt
Organism: Pelobates cultripes (western spadefoot toad)
Lineage: Eukaryota; Metazoa; Chordata; Amphibia; Anura; Pelobatidae
Source: the annotation of a GenBank genome assembly
AGGAUACCAAGCAAAAAUAAUAAUAAAUAAAAAAGUAAAAUGGCACAAUCAAAGUGUGUUAAAAGUAGCCAAAAUACUUUUAUUUAGAAUACAGAAUAAAAUUUUAAAAUAUCCACAACGCAUUUCACCUAUGAUGGCUUUCUCAAGUGGAGACAAAAAAGGCCACACAGCAUAAUUCUAUGGAACUAUUCUGGACAGGAGCCAUGUGUGCGGUCAGUCAGAAAUAAGACCUCUAUACGAAUCCCGAACCCCUGAACUGAUCUGGGUGAUUUUUUAAUAUGUUGCUCACCCAGAUCAGUGGAUAUGCUUUUUAUGGUGAUAUUAUGUGUUUUGGGGGUACUUUCAGAUUGUCUAUAAAUUAUGUUCCUUUUUCGCCUGGAGAUAAUUGAGUUGAGACA